This 800-nucleotide ribosomal RNA is filed under the name Pseudoalteromonas sp. RNAcentral describes it as "bacterial SSU rRNA". It matches the Rfam family "Bacterial small subunit ribosomal RNA", at positions 150 to 952 of the family's 1533-position model. The record is from RNAcentral. Lineage: Bacteria; Pseudomonadati; Pseudomonadota; Gammaproteobacteria; Alteromonadales; Pseudoalteromonadaceae.
UUGGAAACGACUGCUAAUACCGCAUAAUGUCUACGGACCAAAGGGGGCUUCGGCUCUCGCCUUUAGAUUGGCCCAAGUGGGAUUAGCUAGUUGGUGAGGUAAUGGCUCACCAAGGCGACGAUCCCUAGCUGGUUUGAGAGGAUGAUCAGCCACACUGGGACUGAGACACGGCCCAGACUCCUACGGGAGGCAGCAGUGGGGAAUAUUGCACAAUGGGCGCAAGCCUGAUGCAGCCAUGCCGCGUGUGUGAAGAAGGCCUUCGGGUUGUAAAGCACUUUCAGUCAGGAGGAAAGGUUAACAGUUAAUACCCGUUAGCUGUGACGUUACUGACAGAAGAAGCACCGGCUAACUCCGUGCCAGCAGCCGCGGUAAUACGGAGGGUGCGAGCGUUAAUCGGAAUUACUGGGCGUAAAGCGUACGCAGGCGGUUUGUUAAGCGAGAUGUGAAAGCCCCGGGCUCAACCUGGGAACUGCAUUUCGAACUGGCAAACUAGAGUGUGAUAGAGGGUGGUAGAAUUUCAGGUGUAGCGGUGAAAUGCGUAGAGAUCUGAAGGAAUACCGAUGGCGAAGGCAGCCACCUGGGUCAACACUGACGCUCAUGUACGAAAGCGUGGGGAGCAAACGGGAUUAGAUACCCCGGUAGUCCACGCCGUAAACGAUGUCUACUAGAAGCUCGGAGCCUCGGUUCUGUUUUUCAAAGCUAACGCAUUAAGUAGACCGCCUGGGGAGUACGGCCGCAAGGUUAAAACUCAAAUGAAUUGACGGGGGCCCGCACAAGCGGUGGAGCAUGUGGUUUAAUUC